GGCAACAUUGUGAUUGAUGGAACCGCAAAGCUAGUCAAAGUUUCUCAAUCCGUAAACCUAGCAAAAGAGAGUUGAUUGAAUCAGGUUGUGGUCUUUUUCCCAUUUUGAUCUAACCAUUAUUUGAGCUUAUGAAAGUUUGCAAGUUAGACCAUGGGGUACUUCUGGUUCCCUGUAUUUCGUUUGCCUCUUCAUUCUUGAUCACUAUUGUAUCUUUGUCGAAGCAUUAGAAGAUUGAGUACAACCUGUAUCAGUGAGUACCACAAUUUUCUUUGCGGAAGUUGGAUAUCCUGUCCUUUAUUUUUGCCUUGUUGACG
Molecule: unclassified non-coding RNA, 314 nt
Filed under: Hevea brasiliensis (rubber tree)
Lineage: Eukaryota; Viridiplantae; Streptophyta; Magnoliopsida; Malpighiales; Euphorbiaceae
Source: RNAcentral